UUGAACGCUGGCGGCAGGCCUAACACAUGCAAGUCGAGCGGAUGAAGGGAGCUUGCUCCUGGAUUCAGCGGCGGACGGGUGAGUAAUGCCUAGGAAUCUGCCUGGUAGUGGGGGAUAACGUCCGGAAACGGGCGCUAAUACCGCAUACGUCCUGAGGGAGAAAGUGGGGGAUCUUCGGACCUCACGCUAUCAGAUGAGCCUAGGUCGGAUUAGCUAGUUGGUGGGGUAAAGGCCUACCAAGGCGACGAUCCGUAACUGGUCUGAGAGGAUGAUCAGUCACACUGGAACUGAGACACGGUCCAGACUCCUACGGGAGGCAGCAGUGGGGAAUAUUGGACAAUGGGCGAAAGCCUGAUCCAGCCAUGCCGCGUGUGUGAAGAAGGUCUUCGGAUUGUAAAGCACUUUAAGUUGGGAGGGAGGGCAGUAAGUUAAUACCUUGCUGUUUUGACGUUACCAACAGAAUAAGCACCGGCUAACUUCGUG
RNAcentral lists this ribosomal RNA (483 nucleotides) under uncultured bacterium. Its description in RNAcentral is "partial 16S ribosomal RNA". It matches the Rfam family "Bacterial small subunit ribosomal RNA", at positions 30 to 507 of the family's 1533-position model. The record is from RNAcentral.